Molecule: transfer RNA, 73 nt
Filed under: Anguilla anguilla (European eel)
Lineage: Eukaryota; Metazoa; Chordata; Actinopteri; Anguilliformes; Anguillidae
Description: tRNA-OTHER
Source: RNAcentral
GCCAUGGUGGAGCAGUGGGCAGAGCUGUUGCCUCAUGACCAGAAGGUCGUUGGUUUGAAUCCCGGCCUGGGCC